Molecule: ribosomal RNA, 769 nt
Filed under: Phrynobatrachus africanus (African swamp frog)
Lineage: Eukaryota; Metazoa; Chordata; Amphibia; Anura; Phrynobatrachidae
Description: partial 16S ribosomal RNA
Rfam family: Bacterial large subunit ribosomal RNA
Source: RNAcentral
UCAAUUCCACAAGCAUUUUUUAACCCUCUCCCUCUACUGAAUGAUUUUAUAUUCAUAUAAAACACCUUCUGUUAAAACUAGUAACAAGAAAUUGACUUUCUCCUAAAUAUAAACUUAAACCAGCUUUGACCACCUACUGGUACUUAACGCAAGUGAUCAAACUAUAGUAACCCCCCCCCGCGAACCCUAUAUUCCUUUAACGUUACCCUAACACCAGAAUAUUCUAGGAAAGAUUAAAAGGGAAGGAAGGAACUCGGCAAAUACUAGCCCCGCCUGUUUACCAAAAACAUCGCCUCCUGCUAACCCAUAGGAGGUCCAGCCUGCCCAGUGACAAAGUUCAACGGCCUCGGUACCCUAACCGCGCGAAGGUAGCAUAAUCACUUGUUCUUUAAAUAAGGACUUGUAUCAACGGCACCACGAGGGUUAGACUGUCUCCCCUCCCCAAUCAGUGAACCUGACCUCUUCGUGAAGAGGCGAAGAUGAUCAUAUAAGACGAGAAGACCCCAUGGAGCUUAAAACUAAGUAACACCCUCUUAUACGCAUACCCUAAAAAACAAGAAAACUGUUACCUAAUUUUUGGCUGGGGCAUCCGAGGAGUAAAGCACAGCCUCCUUGACGAACCAUCUUAGAAUUACUAUUCCAAGAAACAGUAACCUGAAGUAACAUGACCCGAUAAUCGAUCAACGAACCAAGUUACCCUGGGGAUAACAGCGCAAUCCAUUUCAAGAGCUCAUAUCGACAAAUGGGUUUACGACCUCGAUGUUGGAUC